AUUGAACGCUGGCGGCAGGCCUAACACAUGCAAGUCGAACGGUAACAGGAAGCAGCUUGCUGCUUUGCUGACGAGUGGCGGACGGGUGAGUAAUGUCUGGGAAACUGCCUGAUGGAGGGGGAUAACUACUGGAAACGGUAGCUAAUACCGCAUAAUGUCGCAAGACCAAAGAGGGGGACCUUCGGGCCUCUUGCCAUCGGAUGUGCCCAGAUGGGAUUAGCUAGUAGGUGGGGUAAAGGCUCACCUAGGCGACGAUCCCUAGCUGGUCUGAGAGGAUGACCAGCCACACUGGAACUGAGACACGGUCCAGACUCCUACGGGAGGCAGCAGUGGGGAAUAUUGCACGAUGGGCGCAAGCCUGAUGCAGCCAUGCCGCGUGUAUGAAGAAGGCCUUCGGGUUGUAAAGUACUUUCAGCGGGGAGGAAGGGAGUAAAGUUAAUACCUUUGCUCAUUGACGUUACCCGCAGAAGAAGCACCGGCUAACUCCGUG
RNAcentral lists this ribosomal RNA (490 nucleotides) under uncultured bacterium. Its description in RNAcentral is "partial 16S ribosomal RNA". It matches the Rfam family "Bacterial small subunit ribosomal RNA", at positions 30 to 507 of the family's 1533-position model. The record is from RNAcentral.